This 72-nucleotide transfer RNA is filed under the name Marmota marmota marmota (Alpine marmot). It matches the Rfam family "tRNA". Rfam says of the family: Transfer RNA (tRNA) molecules are approximately 80 nucleotides in length. Their secondary structure includes four short double-helical elements and three loops (D, anti-codon, and T loops). RNAcentral also lists the same sequence under 1 other name. Lineage: Eukaryota; Metazoa; Chordata; Mammalia; Rodentia; Sciuridae. The record is from Rfam by way of RNAcentral.
UGGGCUGUAGCUCAGUGGCAGAGCACUUGCCUUGCAUGCAUGAGGCACUGGGUUCAAUCCUCAGCACCACAU